UGGGGAAUUUUGGACAAUGGGCGAAAGCCUGAUCCAGCAAUGCCGCGUGUGUGAAGAAGGCCUUCGGGUUGUAAAGCACUUUUGUCCGGAAAGAAAUCCUUGGCUCUAAUACAGUCGGGGGAUGACGGUACCGGAAGAAUAAGCACCGGCUAACUACGUGCCAGCAGCCGCGGUAAUACGUAGGGUGCAAGCGUUAAUCGGAAUUACUGGGCGUAAAGCGUGCGCAGGCGGUUUGCUAAGACCGAUGUGAAAUCCCCGGGCGUCAACCUGGGAACUGCAUUGGUGACUGGCAGGCUAGAGUAUGGCAGAGGGGGGUAGAAUUCCACGUGUAGCAGUGAAAUGCGUAGAGAUGUGGAGGAAUACCGAUGGCGAAGGCAGCCCCCUGGGCCAAUACUGACGCUCAUGCACGAAAGCGUGGGGAGCAAACAGGAUUAGAUACCCUGGUAGUCCACGCCCUAAAACGAUGUCAACUAGUUGUUGGGGAUUCAUUUCCUUAGUAACGUAGCUAACGCGUGAAGUUGACCGCCUGGGGAGUACGGUCGCAAGAUUAAAACUCAAAGGAAUUGACGGGGUCAUAGCUGUUUCCU
RNAcentral lists this ribosomal RNA (587 nucleotides) under uncultured bacterium. RNAcentral's name for it is "partial 16S ribosomal RNA". It matches the Rfam family "Bacterial small subunit ribosomal RNA", at positions 355 to 1375 of the family's 1533-position model. The record is from RNAcentral.